UAGGGAAUCUUCGGCAAUGGACGGAAGUCUGACCGAGCAACGCCGCGUGAGUGAAGAAGGUUUUCGGAUCGUAAAGCUCUGUUGUUAGAGAAGAACGUUGGUAGGAGUGGAAAAUCUACCAAGUGACGGUAACUAACCAGAAAGGGACGGCUAACUACGUGCCAGCAGCCGCGGUAAUACGUAGGUCCCGAGAGUUGUCCGGAUUUCUUGGGCGUAAAGCGAGCGCAGGCGGUUCUUUAAGUCUGAAGUUAAAGGCAGUGGCUUAACCAUUGUACGCAUUGGAAACUGGAGGACUUGAGUGCAGAAGGGGAAAGUGGAAUUCCAUGUGUAGCGGUGAAAUGCGUAGAUAUAUGGAGGAACACCGGUGGCGAAAGCGGCUCUCUGGUCUGUAACUGACGCUGAGGCUCGAAAGCGUGGGGAGCAAACAGG
Molecule: ribosomal RNA, 429 nt
Filed under: Bacillota bacterium
Lineage: Bacteria; Bacillati; Bacillota
Description: Firmicutes bacterium partial 16S ribosomal RNA
Rfam family: Bacterial small subunit ribosomal RNA
Source: RNAcentral